This is a long non-coding RNA of Homo sapiens (human), 479 nucleotides long. Ensembl annotates it as SEMA6A antisense RNA 1. Its record names the gene SEMA6A-AS1. The record is from Ensembl. Lineage: Eukaryota; Metazoa; Chordata; Mammalia; Primates; Hominidae.
UCCGGCUUUGGGUCUUUGGAUUGAGUGUCCCCAAAGAGGCCGCUGAGCUUGGUGACGCUGCUCAUGGAGCCCCGGCGCGAGUGGGUGAGCUCCUUCUCCUUGCGCUGCACCACAGCCACGUCUUUGCGCCGAUGAUCACAGACGCAGUAGACGGUGAUGCCCGAGAAGACGGCCCCCAUGACGAAAGCCAGGAUGACUGCAAUGGCCAAGAGGGUGACGGGAACCAGCUGGUCGUGGCCUUUGAGGGUCCUCCUCCCUUCAAUUGUGACAUCACAGUUGGUUGCUGUGGAAAUGAUUGUCCUGUGACAAAGGAUUGUGACUUAAGUAGAAGCAGCAAAUAUCUCUUAAGAAAUAAAGAUUCUGUGAUCCAACAAAUACCCUUGGUAAUAAAAGGCAGUCAAGGCAAUUCACCAUAAGGAAAGAGUGUACAAGACGGUAAGAUAUCAAAUAAUUUUCAAAUGUGAUACUUUUCAAAUAUU